GUGCUCACUUCGGCAGCACAUAUAGUAAAAUUGGAAUGAUACAGAGAAGAUUAGAAUGGCCCCUGCGCAAGGAUGACACGCAAAUUUAAAAAAAAAAAGAAAGAAAG
Molecule: small nuclear RNA, 107 nt
Filed under: Prolemur simus (greater bamboo lemur)
Lineage: Eukaryota; Metazoa; Chordata; Mammalia; Primates; Lemuridae
Source: RNAcentral